CAGCCGCCGCGGGAAUACGGAGGGUGCAAGCGUUAAUCGGAAUUACUGGGCGUAAAGCGCGCGUAGGUGGUUUGUUAAGUUGGAUGUGAAAUCCCCGGGCUCAACCUGGGAACUGCAUCCAAAACUGGCAAGCUAGAGUAUGGUAGAGGGUGGUGGAAUUUCCUGUGUAGCGGUGAAAUGCGUAGAUAUAGGAAGGAACACCAGUGGCGAAGGCGACCACCUGGACUGAUACUGACACUGAGGUGCGAAAGCGUGGGGAGCAAACAGGAUUAGAUACCCCGGUAGUCCCUGUCUCUUAUAC
Molecule: ribosomal RNA, 301 nt
Filed under: uncultured bacterium
Lineage: Bacteria
Description: partial 16S ribosomal RNA
Rfam family: Bacterial small subunit ribosomal RNA
Source: RNAcentral